Long non-coding RNA from Balaenoptera musculus (blue whale), 692 nucleotides. RefSeq lists it as uncharacterized. NCBI's taxonomy places the organism in Eukaryota, Metazoa, Chordata, Mammalia, Artiodactyla, Balaenopteridae. The record is from RefSeq and is a predicted model, not a curated record. The transcript is spliced from 2 exons.
AGGCGCACUACUUUACAAGGCUUUUAAGAUCAAAGGGUCACUCCCGUCCGCCGCCGGGGAGCGCGGAGGGAUCCGCCACACUCAUUUCCGGCGUUAGCCCGAAGGGCGGAGAGAGAAGUCUUUCAUCCCAAGAAAGGUUUAUUACUGUGAAGUACGAGUUCUCCUAGUUCUCGCGCGAGAUGCUGGAGGAGAGCGCGCAUCAAGAUGAUUGGUCAGACAUGAUGGUGCAAAAAAACUUCCAGCUGGAGAAGUCGGAGCAGAUGCUGUUGAUUCAGGCAGAGGUGGGGGUUACUGAGUAGAAGGGCAGAGAAGCGGGAAGAGGCCCUACAUCUUUCCCCAGAGAUUAAAAAAAAAAAUGUGUGUGUAUUGGGGGGGGGGGGUCUUCCCCUCCUCCAACCAAGAAUCUCAAAGCACUUGGCUGUCGUCCAGGUGUUAUGAUGAGACUUGCCCCAUCUCAGUCAGCAAACCCACCAGGACCUGAGCCAAGGAUUCCCACCGCUUCUAGUUCUGAGGACUUCUAAGAGGUUCUUGCUUGUGAAGUGGCAAAGUUCUGCUUUUUGGUUUUGUGAAACAUAGGUAAGAGACAGAGCUGCCCUGAGAAAGAUGCUCUUUAAGAGGAGAUACACUCAAAUCACCAUUACACUUGGCUUUGAUAAUUCGGGAUUUGAUCUUUAAAAUCUUUUCUUUUUUGA